Molecule: ribosomal RNA, 489 nt
Filed under: uncultured bacterium
Lineage: Bacteria
Description: bacterial SSU rRNA
Rfam family: Bacterial small subunit ribosomal RNA
Source: RNAcentral
GAUGAACGCUAGCUACAGGCUUAACACAUGCAAGUCGAGGGGCAGCAUGAACUUAGCUUGCUAAGUUUGAUGGCGACCGGCGCACGGGUGAGUAACACGUAUCCAACCUGCCGAUGACUCGGGGAUAGCCUUUCGAAAGAAAGAUUAAUACCCGAUGGCAUAGUUCUUCCGCAUGGUGGAACUAUUAAAGAAUUUCGGUCAUCGAUGGGGAUGCGUUCCAUUAGGUUGUUGGCGGGGUAACGGCCCACCAAGCCUUCGAUGGAUAGGGGUUCUGAGAGGAAGGUCCCCCACAUUGGAACUGAGACACGGUCCAAACUCCUACGGGAGGCAGCAGUGAGGAAUAUUGGUCAAUGGACGAGAGUCUGAACCAGCCAAGUAGCGUGAAGGAUGACUGCCCUAUGGGUUGUAAACUUCUUUUAUACGGGAAUAAAGUGAGGCACGUGUGCCUUUUUGUAUGUACCGUAUGAAUAAGGAUCGGCUAACUCCGUG